GUGUGAAGUUCACCCAGUGUGACUUUUCUGAUUGUCGUAGGUUUAAAUCACGUGCAGGCGGUAGAUAUGCAUCAAAGCUGAGAAUAAAAAGGGGUACAUGUGACCAACAAAGUUUCCGGAGGGAAGAUCAGAUGCCUACACCGAUGGAUUAUACGAAAAUGUAGGACUUAUAGGCAGCGCACCGAGGAAAAAGGGCUGCUUUUGUUGGCUCUCCGAAUUAAUUGUCGCGGAUUCCCAGGAUUUCCGUACGAGUGGAAGUAGCAUAUGUAUAGAGACAGCAGGGCACAGUACGUUGAAGUUAUUGGCAUUUCGCACGAUACCAGAGCUCCAGAGCUCGCUAUCACCCCCGACGAUCAAUAGAGCCUUUAACCCCUUACGUUCAACGAUCCGUUCUAACGACUUCGUUGUUAGCAAGAUCUUAUGGCGACAACCUGCUUAGCACCCAAG
Molecule: long non-coding RNA, 447 nt
Organism: Hermetia illucens (black soldier fly)
Lineage: Eukaryota; Metazoa; Arthropoda; Insecta; Diptera; Stratiomyidae
Exons: 4
Source: RefSeq, a predicted model, not a curated record